RNAcentral lists this ribosomal RNA (850 nucleotides) under uncultured bacterium. RNAcentral describes it as "bacterial SSU rRNA". It matches the Rfam family "Bacterial small subunit ribosomal RNA", at positions 53 to 936 of the family's 1533-position model. The record is from RNAcentral.
ACCUGCAGUCGACGAGAAAGUGGAGCAAUCCAUGAGUACAGUGGCGCACGGGUGAGUAACACGUGACUAACCUACCCUGGAGUGGGGGAUAACUGAGGGAAACCUUAGCUAAUGCCGCAUAACACCUACGGGUCAAAGGAGCAAUUCGCUUCAGGAGGGGGUCGCGGCCGAUUAGUUAGUUGGCGGGGUAAUGGCCCACCAAGACAGUGAUCGGUAUCCGGCCUGAGAGGGCGCACGGACACACUGGAACUGAAACACGGUCCAGACUCCUACGGGAGGCAGCAGUGGGGAAUUUUGCGCAAUGGGGGAAACCCUGACGCAGCAACGCCGCGUGGAGGAUGAAGUCCUUCGGGACGUAAACUCCUUUCGAUCGGGACGAUUAUGACGGUACCGGAAGAAGAAGCCCCGGCUAACUUCGUGCCAGCAGCCGCGGUAAUACGAGGGGGGCGAGCGUUGUUCGGAAUUAUUGGGCGUAAAGGGUGCGUAGGCGGUUUUGUAAGUCUUAUGUGAAAUCUAUGGGCUCAACUCAUAGACUGCAUGAGAAACUGCAGGGCUUGAGUAUGGGAGAGGUGAGUGGAAUUCCUGGUGUAGCGGUGAAAUGCGUAGAUAUCAGGAGGAACACCUGUGGCGAAAGCGGCUCACUGGACCAUAACUGACGCUGAUGCACGAAAGCUAGGGGAGCAAACAGGAUUAGAUACCCUGGUAGUCCUAGCCCUAAACGAUGACUGCUUGGUGUGACGGGUACCCAAUCCCGCCGUGCCGUAGCUAACGCGUUAAGCAGUCCGCCUGGGGAGUACGGUCGCAAGGCUGAAACUCAAAGGAAUUGACGGGGGCCCGCACAAGCGGUGGA